UACACUCCUACGGGAGGCAGCAGUAGGGAAUCUUCGACAAUGGGGGCAACCCUGACCGAGCAACGCCGCGUGAGUGAAGAAGGUUUUCGGAUCGUAAAGCUCUGUUGUAAGUCAAGAACGAGUGUGAGAGUGGAAAGUUCACACUGUGACGGUAGCUUACCAGAAAGGGACGGCUAACUACGUGCCAGCAGCCGCGGUAAUACGUAGGUCCCGAGCGUUGUCCGGAUUUAUUGGGCGUAAAGCGAGCGCAGGCGGUUUGAUAAGUCUGAAGUUAAAGGCUGUGGCUCAACCAUAGUUCGCUUUGGAAACUGUCAAACUUGAGUGCAGAAGGGGAGAGUGGAAUUCCAUGUGUAGCGGUGAAAUGCGUAGAUAUAUGGAGGAACACCGGUGGCGAAAGCGGCUCUCUGGUCUGUAACUGACGCUGAGGCUCGAAAGCGUGGGGAGCGAACAGGAUUAGAAACCCUUGUAGUCCCAUGAU
RNAcentral lists this ribosomal RNA (478 nucleotides) under uncultured organism. RNAcentral's name for it is "partial 16S ribosomal RNA". It matches the Rfam family "Bacterial small subunit ribosomal RNA", at positions 332 to 801 of the family's 1533-position model. The record is from RNAcentral.